UACGGAGGAUGCAAGCGUUAUCCGGAUUCAUUGGGUUUAAAGGGUGCGUAGGCGGACUAUUAAGUCAGUGGUGAAAGCCUGCAGCUUAACUGCAGAACUGCCAUUGAUACUGAUAGUCUUGAGUUUGGUUAAGGUAGGCGGAAUGUGUAAUGUAGCGGUGAAAUGCUUAGAUAUUACACAGAACACCAAUUGCGCAGGCAGCUUACUAAACCAUAACUGACGCUCAGGCACGAAGGCGUGGGGAUCAAACAGGA
Molecule: ribosomal RNA, 254 nt
Filed under: uncultured prokaryote
Description: partial 16S ribosomal RNA
Rfam family: Bacterial small subunit ribosomal RNA
Source: RNAcentral